This 899-nucleotide ribosomal RNA is filed under the name uncultured bacterium. Its description in RNAcentral is "bacterial SSU rRNA". It matches the Rfam family "Bacterial small subunit ribosomal RNA", at positions 8 to 916 of the family's 1533-position model. The record is from RNAcentral.
AGAGUUUGAUCCUGGCUCAGAAUGAACGUUGGCGGCGUGGAUUAGGCAUGCAAGUCGUACGCCCCGCAAGGGGAGUGGCGCAAGGGUGAGUAAGGCGACGGUAACCAACCCCAUGGUCGGGCAUAGCCGGGGGAAACCCCGGGUAAUUCCCGGCGACGUGGCGGGGGGGCAUCCCCCCGGCACCACAGGUGUGACUCCGCCGUGGGACGGGCCGUCGUGGUAUUAGGUUGUUGGCGGGGUAACGGCCCACCAAGCCUGCGAUGCCUACCGGGCGUGCGAGCGUGGCCCGGCACACUGGGACUGAGACACUGCCCAGACUCCUACGGGAGGCUGCAGUCGAGAAUCUUCGGCAAUGGGCGCAAGCCUGACCGAGCGACGCCGCGUGGGGGACGAAGGCCUUCGGGUUGUAAACCCCUGUCGAGGGGGAGGAAGGCGGCGCGAAGAGCGUCGCUUGACCGAUCCCUGGAGGAAGCACGGGCUAAGUUCGUGCCAGCAGCCGCGGUAAGACGAACCGUGCGAACGUUAUUCGGAAUCACUGGGCUUAAAGCGCGUGUAGGCGGGCCGGCACGUCCGACGCUGAAAUCCCCCGGCUCAACCGGGGAAGUGGCUCGGAUACGACCGGCCUGGAGGGGGGUAGGGGGGCCUGGAACUUCCGGUGGAGCGGUGAAAUGCGUUGAGAUCGGAAGGAACGCCCGUGGCGAAAGCGAGGCCCUGGACCCUUUCUGACGCUGAGACGCGAAAGCCAGGGGAGCGAACGGGAUUAGAUACCCCGGUAGUCCUGGCCGUAAACGAUGGGCACUGGGUAGGGGGCUCGCCGAUGGGCUCCCUGCCGCAGGGAAACCGUGAAGUGCCCCGCCUGGGGAGUAUGGUCGCAAGGCUGAACUCAAAUGAAUUGACGG